UGGGGAAUUUUGGACAAUGGGGGCAACCCUGAUCCAGCAAUGCCGCGUGAGUGAAGAAGGCCUUCGGGUUGUAAAGCUCUUUUGUCAGGGAAGAAAAGGCUGUGGCUAAUAUCCACAGCUGCUGACGGUACCUGAAGAAUAAGCACCGGCUAACUACGUGCCAGCAGCCGCGGUAAUACGUAGGGUGCAAGCGUUAAUCGGAAUUACUGGGCGUAAAGCGUGCGCAGGCGGUUUCGUAAGUCUGUCGUGAAAUCCCCGGGCUUAACCUGGGAAUGGCGAUGGAGACUGCGAGGCUAGAGUUUGGCAGAGGGGGGUAGAAUUCCACGUGUAGCAGUGAAAUGCGUAGAGAUGUGGAGGAACACCGAUGGCGAAGGCAGCCCCCUGGGUCAAAACUGACGCUCAUGCACGAAAGCGUGGGGAGCAAACAGGAUUAGAUACCCUGGUAGUCCACGCCCUAAACGAUGUCUACUAGUUGUUGGGUCUUAAUUGACUUAGUAACGCAGCUAACGCGUGAAGUAGACC
Molecule: ribosomal RNA, 522 nt
Filed under: uncultured bacterium
Lineage: Bacteria
Description: bacterial SSU rRNA
Rfam family: Bacterial small subunit ribosomal RNA
Source: RNAcentral